Molecule: ribosomal RNA, 442 nt
Filed under: uncultured bacterium
Lineage: Bacteria
Description: partial 16S ribosomal RNA
Rfam family: Bacterial small subunit ribosomal RNA
Source: RNAcentral
CCUACGGGAGGCAGCAGUGGAGAAUAAUGGGCAAUGGGCGCAAGCCUGACGCAGCGACGCCGCGUGAGGGAAGAAGGCUUUCGGGAUGGAAACUUCCUUUGACAGGGAAGAGAAGAAGAAGGUACCUGCCGAAAAAGCCAGGGCGAACUACGUGCCAGCCGCCGCUGUCAUACGUAGGUGGCAAGCGUUGUCCGGAUUUACUGGGUGGAAAGGACGUGUAGCCGGGUUGACAAGUCAGAUGUGAAAGCCGGCGGCUUAACCGCCGAACUGCAUUUGAUACUGUUGAUCUUGGGUAAUUGAGAGGCAGCCGGAAUUCCUGGUGUAGCGGUGAAAUGCGUAGAUAUUAGGAGGAACACUAGUGGCGAAGGCGGUUUGCUGGACAUCAACUGACGGUGAGGCACGAAAGCGUGGGGAGCGAACAGGAUUAGAUACCCUUGUAGUC